GGNAUAACCGUNGGAANCUACGNCUAAUACCGCAUAACUNGUAAGUAGUCAGGACCAAAGGUGGCCUCUACAUGUAAGCUAUCGCGUUGGGAUGGGCCCAGUUAGGAUUAGCUAGUUGGUAAGGUAAUGGCUUACCAAGGCAACGAUCCUUAGCUGGUUUGAGAGGAUGAUCAGCCACACUGGGACUGAGCACGGCCCAGACUCNUACGGGAGGCAGCAGUGGGGAAUAUUGCACAAUGGGGGAGACCCUGAUGCAGCCAUGCCGCGUGUGUGAAGAAGGCCUUCGGGUUGUAAAGCACUUUCAGCAGUGAGGAAGGUCGUGUACUUAAUACGUGCACGGCUUGACGUUAGCUGCAGAAGAAGCACCGGCUAACUCCGUGCCAGCAGCCGCGGUAAUACGGAGNGUGCGAGCGUUAAUCGGAAUUACUGGGCGUAAAGCGCAUGCAGGCGNAUUGUUAAGUCAGAUGUGAAAGCCCGGGGCUCAACCUCGGAACCGCAUUUGAAACUGGCAGGCUAGAGUCUUGUAGAGGGGGGUAGAAUUUCAGGUGUAGCGGUGAAAUGCGUAGAGAUCUGAAGGAAUACCAGUGGCGAAGGCGGCCCCCUGGACAAAGACUGACGCUCAGAUGCGAAAGCGUGGGUAGCAAACAGGAUUAGAUACCCUGGUAGUCCACGCCGUAAACGCUGUCUACUUGGAGGUUGAGGUUUUAGACUUUGGCUUUCGGCGCUAACGCAUUAAGUAGACCGCCUGGGGAGUACGGCCGCAAGGUUAAAACUCAAAUGAAUUGACGGGGGCCNGCACAAGCGGUGGAGCAUGUGGUUUAAUUCGAUGNAACGCGAAGAACCUUACCUACUCUUGACAUCCAGCGAAGCCUUUAGAGAUAGAGGNGUGCCUUCGGGAGCGCUGAGACAGGUGCUGCAUGGCUGUCGUCAGCUCGUGUUGUGAAAUGUUGGGUUAAGUCCCGCAACGAGCGCAACCCUUAUCCUUGUUUGCCAGCACRUAAUGGUGGGAACUCCAGGGAGACUGCCGGUGAUAAACCGGAGGAAGGUGGGNACGACGUCAAGUCAUCAUGGCCCUUACGAGUAGGGCUACACACGUGCUACAAUGGCAGAUACAGAGGGCAGCGAGACAGCGAUGUUUAGCGAAUCCCUUAAAGUUUGUCGUAGUCCGGAUUGGAGUCUGCAACUCGACUCCAUGAAGUCGGAAUCGCUAGUAAUCGUGGAUCAGAAUGCCACGGUGAAUACGUUCCCGGGCCUUGUACACACCGCCCGUCACACCAUGGGAGUGGGCUGCACCAGAAGUAGAUAGCUUAACCUUCGGGAGGGCGUUUACCACGGUGUGGUUCANGACUGGG
RNAcentral lists this ribosomal RNA (1352 nucleotides) under Vibrio aspartigenicus. RNAcentral describes it as "16S ribosomal RNA". It matches the Rfam family "Bacterial small subunit ribosomal RNA", at positions 140 to 1479 of the family's 1533-position model. The record is from RNAcentral. Lineage: Bacteria; Pseudomonadati; Pseudomonadota; Gammaproteobacteria; Vibrionales; Vibrionaceae.